CAGGAAGGAGUCCUGAGCAGGCGACGGAGACAGACAGCAUGAGGGAGGGGGUGCUCAGGUCUUGUUUCUGGGUCCAGGAGAGUUCCGCUGGAGCAGAACCACGUGAGGAUGCUACUCUUUUCUGCACUCAGUCUAGAAGCCACUAUCACUGCUCUGGGAACCAGCACCCUCAUCGCCAGGACCACAGGGUACCUGGGUCCCCACAGCACCCCAGGGAGCCUGUGCCCACACUGCCAGUACCACAGGGAACCUGGGUCCCCACAGCACCCCAGGGAGCAUGUGCCCACAUUGCCAGCACCACAGGGAACCUGGGUCCCCACUGCACCCUGGGGAGCCUGUGCCCUCAUUACCAGUACCACAAGGAACCUGGAGUCCCAUCACACCCCAGGGAAUCUGUGCCCACACUGCCAGUACCACAGGAAGCCUAGGUCCUGAUUCUCAGAUCCAUAAAGGGAGAUACCUCACUAGAUCUGGGGCUCACCUUCCUGGCCCCUGACUCAGGAUCUGGGUACUGGCUUUUCUGUUUGCUUUGAAAUUAUUGAAGAUUCUCUUAGCUGUUCUAGUGGUGAACUAUGUGUAACAUGAGGUGCUCUUGAGUAAACUCACUUUUUAAUGUC
This is a long non-coding RNA of Microtus oregoni (creeping vole), 617 nucleotides long. RefSeq lists it as uncharacterized. The transcript has 2 exons. The record is from RefSeq and is a predicted model, not a curated record. Lineage: Eukaryota; Metazoa; Chordata; Mammalia; Rodentia; Cricetidae.